RNAcentral lists this ribosomal RNA (492 nucleotides) under uncultured bacterium. RNAcentral describes it as "partial 16S ribosomal RNA". It matches the Rfam family "Bacterial small subunit ribosomal RNA", at positions 29 to 507 of the family's 1533-position model. The record is from RNAcentral.
AGUGAACGCUGGCGGUAGGCCUAACACAUGCAAGUCGAACGGCAGCACAGUAAGAGCUUGCUCUUACGGGUGGCGAGUGGCGGACGGGUGAGGAAUACAUCGGAAUCUACUUUUUCGUGGGGGAUAACGUAGGGAAACCUACGCUAAUACCGCAUACGACCUACGGGUGAAAGCAGGGGAUCUUCGGACCUUGCGCGAUUGAAUGAGCCGAUGUCGGAUUAGCUAGUUGGCGGGGUAAAGGCCCACCAAGGCGACGAUCCGUAGCUGGUCUGAGAGGUUGAUCAGCCACACUGGAACUGAGACACGGUCCAGACUCCUACGGGAGGCAGCAGUGGGGAAUAUUGGACAAUGGGCGCAAGCCUGAUCCAGCCAUACCGCGUGGGUGAAGAAGGCCUUCGGGUUGUAAAGCCCUUUUGUUGGGAAAGAAAAGCAGCAGGUUAAUACCCCGCUGUUCUGACGGUACCCAAAGAAUAAGCACCGGCUAACUUCGUG